Molecule: ribosomal RNA, 661 nt
Filed under: uncultured archaeon
Lineage: Archaea
Description: bacterial SSU rRNA
Rfam family: Archaeal small subunit ribosomal RNA
Source: RNAcentral
CGAACGGCUCAGUAACACGUAGUCAACCUGCCCUCGGGACGAGGAUAAUCUCGGGAAACUGAGGCUAAUACUCGAUAGAUCAAGAUUCCUGGAAUGGGUUUUGGUCUCAAAUGAGGUAACGACAUCUUCGUUACAUUUCGCCCGAGGAUGGGACUGCGGCCGAUCAGGCUGUUGGUGGGGUAAAGGCCCACCAAACCAGUAACCGGUACGGGCUUUGAGAGAAGGAGCCCGGAGAUGGACACUGAGACAAGGGUCCAGGUCCUACGGGGCGCAGCAGGCGCGAAACCUUCGCAAUGCGCGCAAGCGCGACGAGGUUAUUCCGAGUGAUUUCCGCUGAGGAAAUCUUUUCUCAGAUCUAAAAAGUCUGGGGAAUAAGGGGAGGGCAAGUCUGGUGUCAGCCGCCGCGGUAAUACCAGCUCCUCGAGUGGUCAGGGCGUUUAUUGGGCCUAAAGCAUCCGUAGCCUGCUCGGUAGGUCUCCUGUUAAAUCCAACGGCUCAACCGUUGGUCUGCAGGAGAUACCGCUGGGCUAGGAGGCGGGAGAGGCGGACGGUACUCCGAGGGUAGGGGUAAAAUCCUUUGAUCCCCGGAAGACCACCAGUGGCGAAGGCGGUCCGCCAGAACGCGCUCGACGGUGAGGGAUGAAAGCUGAGGGAGCGAACC